This is a long non-coding RNA of Fukomys damarensis (Damara mole-rat), 1111 nucleotides long. RefSeq lists it as uncharacterized. The record is from RefSeq and is a predicted model, not a curated record. Lineage: Eukaryota; Metazoa; Chordata; Mammalia; Rodentia; Bathyergidae. The transcript is spliced from 4 exons.
GGCGGUUUUCCGAGCAACCCUGGGCAGCCUGGGCCUCCGCUGGGAGCGGGGAGGCCUGGGCGGUCUUCACCGCCUUCGGGGCCGGGUUCUGUCUCCCCUCCCAAGAGAGGCCCGGUGUUUAGGGUCUGGACUGGCUCCGGGGACUUCCAGGGCUCCCAAAACCCCGAGGCGUUGCCACCACUCAAGCCCCGCCCGGAAAUUGCCUCGACCUUAACCGAAGGCUCCUGGCGCCUGGGGCGGAAACGGCCUUCAGAGCCUCGGAAAGAUGCUGGGACCCUCAGCUCCAUGGACACCUCGGAUGACAAAUCUGGAGAAGCAGCUUGAGGUCGGGCCGCAGAAGUUGACCCAGCCCCGAGCAGCUGCACCAGAGGCAACCGUGGGGCGCAGAGAGCCCCUAGUUGGGGAGCAGCAGGCGGCAGCAGUGCAAGGCACAUUACCACGGGUCUCCGGCAGAAUCCCCCUCGCUUCAGGCCCACAUCCCACGGCCCUCGCCGCUUUCACAGCAGCUCUGGAGUCCUCUUUCCUGAGGGUCUUUCUACUGAGAAAUCCAGAGGAUGCUGUGCCGAUGCCGUCCAAUGGAAAGGCAGCUCCUGAAAGCACGACGCUGUGCCCUCCUCCACCUUAGUCACCGGAUCUGGCUCUCUCUCUGUGACCUUGGCUCUUCCCCAAAGUCACAAUGGCCAAGAAAGCUUGAGAUUUUGAGUCAGUUUGGGGCAUUGAAGCAGCCAGAACAGUGGAGCUAAAGACCCACAGGAAAGAGGGGUCCAGAGCUGCUGCAGAAAUCGGCAAGGACGGUGGGAUGAGUGUGCUCACAGCGGGGGGGAUUCCUGGAGUGGACCCACGGCAGUGUCUUUCACUGCUAGAAAUGGGAGCUCUGUAUUUUUCCAUCAGUGUUGCCGCCUUGGCAAGAGUUGCCGGCAACUUUUUUUCCCAGGGAAGCUGGCCGGAACCGCCCCUUUCAGACUCAGCAGGACUCGACACAUCUUGGAGCUUCCUGGUACCAUUUUAAGGAAUUUCCCAACAGUGGUCCUCUUUGUGUGUGUUGCAUUGUAAGACUUAAGUCUCACUUUCACUCCUGGAGCGUGAACAGCCAAGAGGCUUCCACGAUGCU